This 468-nucleotide ribosomal RNA is filed under the name uncultured bacterium. RNAcentral's name for it is "partial 16S ribosomal RNA". It matches the Rfam family "Bacterial small subunit ribosomal RNA", at positions 28 to 507 of the family's 1533-position model. The record is from RNAcentral.
GACGAACGCUGGCGGCGUGCUUAACACAUGCAAGUCGAACGGAAAGGCCCUGCUUUUGUGGGGUGCUCGAGUGGCGAACGGGUGAGUAACACGUGAGUAACCUGCUCUUGACUUUGGGAUAACUUCAGGAAACUGGGGCUAAUACCGGAUAGGAGCUCCUGCUGCAUGGUGGGGGUUGGAAAGUUUCGGCGGUUGGGGAUGGACUCGCGGCUUAUUAGCUUGUUGGUGGGGUAGUGGCUUACCAAGGCUUUGACGGGUAGCCGGCCUGAGAGGGUGACCGGCCACAUUGGGACUGAGAUCCGGCCCAGACUCCUACGGGAGGCAGCAGGGGGGAAAAUUGCAAAAUGGGCGGAAGCCGGAGGCAGCAACGCCGGGUGCGGGAUGACGGCCUUGGGUUUGUAAACCGCUUUCGCCUGUGACGAAGCGUGAGUGACGGUAAUUGGUAAAGAAGCACCGGCUAACUACGUG